Molecule: ribosomal RNA, 496 nt
Filed under: uncultured bacterium
Lineage: Bacteria
Description: partial 16S ribosomal RNA
Rfam family: Bacterial small subunit ribosomal RNA
Source: RNAcentral
GAUGAACGCUGGCGGCGUGCCUAAUACAUGCAAGUCGAGCGAACAGACGAGGAGCUUGCUCCUCUGACGUUAGCGGCGGACGGGUGAGUAACACGUGGAUAACCUACCUAUAAGACUGGGAUAACUUCGGGAAACCGGAGCUAAUACCGGAUAACAUGUUGAACCGCAUGGUUCAACAGUGAAAGACGGUUUUGCUGUCACUUAUAGAUGGAUCCGCGUCGCAUUAGCUAGUUGGUACGGUAACGGCUUACCAAGGCAACGAUGCGUAGCCGACCUGAGAGGGUGAUCGGCCACACUGGAACUGAGACACGGUCCAGACUCCUACGGGAGGCAGCAGUAGGGAAUCUUCCGCAAUGGGCGAAAGCCUGACGGAGCAACGCCGCGUGAGUGAAGAAGGUCUUCGGAUCGUAAAACUCUGUUAUUAGGGAAGAACAAAUGUGUAAGUAACUAUGCACGUCUUGACGGUACCUAAUCAGAAAGCCACGGCUAACUACGU